CACAAACACACAUGCACGGACGGGCGCUCACACACAGCACACAUAAACAGCAGCUGCGUGAGUUGGUUGUUUGCCGCGAAAUAGGCAGCACAACAACAAUGGUAGCAACAUCGCAACAUGAACAUCAACGGUGGCAAAAUAUGUAUUAGCCCCCGAAGUUUACUAACAAAAUUAAUUAUGCGAAUUAAGCGCAGUAAAAGCACUUUAAGCAAUCCCCCCACCGCCCCUUCAUAACUUCGCAGCUCUCGACCACCGUCGACCAAAACACCCCCCUACCCCCCCAUCAUCAUCAACACCGCAGCAGCACCUCGCCCAGCAAAAGGCCCCACCAACCCCUCACCAGAUGCCAUCGGCACAUAAUAUGUGCCUCAUUCUGUGCCGUGUCAUGGAACUACACUGUUACAAUCUGAUAGUUUUACAGGAUUAUGUAAAUAGUUUUACUAAGUAAUGUACUUAUUAAUAAAGUAUUUCAAUAUUGUGCAUUUUG
This is a non-coding RNA of Drosophila melanogaster (fruit fly), 487 nucleotides long. Lineage: Eukaryota; Metazoa; Arthropoda; Insecta; Diptera; Drosophilidae. The record is from Ensembl.